GGGCGUCCUUACUCCCAGUCUUUCCAGAUGUUCUUCCCACUCCUCAACUGCUCCUGGCUCAGAAACCCUGCACACCUGGAAGAAAGUGAGAACCAGUUUUUCAACAAACACAUUGCACAGACUUAUUGUGAACCCCGGGUGGAAUCAAGCAUCGGAGGAAGAGAACGUGGUAAUAUUGACUCCAAUCCAGAAGACAGUCAUCAGUUAAGUAAAUAAAACAGGAACAGAACAUUGGGUCUUGCUGUGUCCCUAGGCUGGAGUGCAGUGGUGCAGUCUCAAUUAUGCCAGAUGGCUCUGAGGUCCAAGUAAAAGAUAAUAUUUGCAACCAACUCACUGGAGUUGACCAUCAAAACUCUUUUCCAGGCACACUCAGGCAUCGCAGAAAAUAAUAUGUAUUGUGGAAUCCCUCACUUGAUGAAUAAUCUAGAUGAUCAGAAAUGUGGCACUAUUUUGGCUUUCAGGUGGAAAAGCACCCUGAAUCCAGCUUCCUGCUAUGAAUGAAUACUGAGCUUGGGUUGGUGGAAAUUGAUUUUCGAGAUAAAGAAUCCAGCCAGGACUGUGAAGCCCCAGGGAAUGGCUGCACUUCAAGUCAGAAGGAGCCUGGGUCCCUGAAUCAUCAUGUGGAAGGCUCUCCACCCAGUUCAAUGGUGCAAUGGACCACAAGCAGGAACUUAAUUUAGAAUGUGCUUAUUUUGUUAGAUUUUGUAAUUAAAAAAUGGAUCCCACUCUGACUGAA
RNAcentral lists this long non-coding RNA (736 nucleotides) under Homo sapiens (human). RNAcentral's name for it is "HSALNT0376925". Lineage: Eukaryota; Metazoa; Chordata; Mammalia; Primates; Hominidae. The record is from RNAcentral.